RNAcentral lists this ribosomal RNA (253 nucleotides) under uncultured bacterium. Its description in RNAcentral is "partial 16S ribosomal RNA". It matches the Rfam family "Bacterial small subunit ribosomal RNA", at positions 524 to 776 of the family's 1533-position model. The record is from RNAcentral.
GACAGAGGGUGCAAACGUUGCUCGGAUUUACUGGGCGUAAAGCGCAUGUAGGCUGGAAUCUAAGUCGGGUGUGAAAUCCCUGGGCUCAACCUAGGAACUGCAUCCGAAACUGGAUUCCUGGAGUGGUGGAGAGGAAAGCGGAAUUCCGGGUGUAGAGGUGAAAUUCGUAGAUAUCCGGAGGAACACCAGUGGCGAAGGCGGCUUUCUGGACACCAACUGACGCUGAGACGCGAAAGCGUGGGGAGCAAACAGG